UUGCUUGAGGCAAUACUCCAGACUGGGUGGAGCUGGAUGGAUGCAGGAGGGCAAGCAAGCUGCUCCACAUGGGAGAAGCCGACAAAGACAUUGGAAAUCACCCUUAUCUUACUCACAGAUGAGUAUCAGCCUGUUUUCCACUCUGCCAAGCAUACUACAUUGAUUUCAGCAACUGCAACUGUUCCUGAAAUGUCCUGUAGGUCUCUCCUUUCCCUUCCAGCCCAGAUUUUACCCUGAGACCAUAAGCCUGGCAACAGUGUUGGACCAAAGGCUCAGCUACCCCAGCAUCCCAUCAUAAUGAAUAUCCCAGAGAAGGUGCUUUAACAUGUGCACGCAGAGAAAGGUUAUCUUUGGUCAGACCCUGACCAUUUGGAGAGGAGGAUGGAGCCCCGGAGGCUGCACUGUCCCAGUAAAUGGUGCAGUUGAGCAGUUUGUUUGGUGGAAGGAGCACCAGGCUGAGGUCAAAGAGGCACAGGAGUCUUCUGGAAGCACCUUGGACCUGGAACCACAUGUAGAAGCCACAGUGGCUGCAGCUGCUUGUGAAGAUGGACUGUGAAUUUGCAAUUAUGAGUAGAACAACCAGAAAGGUGUGGAGAGAUACUGUAGAAUCCUUCCUGCAGUCUGCACCCUGGAAGCCCUCGGCAGUGUGGGAGUUUCUAGGCUUUACCAGUACAAAAAUGACCAACACCAAGUUGAAAAGUGCCCAAAAUAAAACAAACUUAAGAUAUAAGUCACCUUUUCUCACCAAAGCAAAUAUAUACUCCCAUGAUGCUGAAGUGGAUUCUUGACUUCUUCACAUUAGAAAAUCAGGCAAGGUGAUAUGCAGAGGACUUGUUGCACAAAUUCCAGUGAACAUCACAUUCCCAAAUAACAGCCUUCAAUACCAGGAAGCCUCUUAAGGAGAAUAAGAUAAUUUGCAGGAGUACCUUGCUACUCCACUUAACAUAUGUGUUGCGUAACUGACUUUUUUGAUGGGAUCUUUACUUUAGAAAAGCAAACAGAUGUAUAGAUAUAUUCUGCUGAGAGGUUGUAGCAUGUUGCUACUGGCUUUACCUGAGAGGUUUGGCCAAAUGAUGGAUGUGCUGCAUCACAUUGAUGAAUGGGACAAGAUAUUCCUCAGAGCUGAUCCUACAUGUCCAAGUAAGAGAAGUCAGAAAACAAGGGGUACAGACCCAUGUUUGCAUUUCCAGCCCAGCACUCUGCCCAAAAGAAGUUGUCUCUUGUGUUUUCUUCAAGCCACUGUGUUUGGAGUUGCAGAUCUGCUUAUCUUUCAACUCUUCCAGACCUUUCUUAUUCUCUCAGACAGCAGAGACAGAAGAACCCAUAAGCAUCUUUGUCCUGUGCUGCAUACAUGCCACCCAUGCAGAUGGGGGUCCCCAUUUCAAUUACCUAAGGCCAUAGGAGAGCAUGGUCCUCAUGGGACUGCCCUGUCCUGAUUUACAAACCCAUAUGGAAGAGGGUCAGCUCCCAGCUUGCUGUGAGAAAAUUUGGGAUGUAUGAGCAAGGCUGGUGGCUAUUUUCCAGACCUUUAUAUUUCAGCUGAUACUUUUGUCCCUGAAAGGACACUGGGAAUGGCACUGAGAGCCUCAAGGUCUGGGAAGGAACCCCUCACCCACCCUCCUGUAGGAGUACAACUGCUUCUUACCUCUAACCCGAAUGAGCCCUGCCCAGCCCAUAACACUACAAAUAAUCUGACACGUUGGGCCAAAUCUUUCUCAACGCAAACACUCAACUCCUCAUAUGAGUGGGAGUCCCCCAUCAGCACUGAGGUCAUUACUGAAGCUAAUUAAACACUUUCCAGUCCCUUCCCUCUUCCUCACCUCUCCACUCUCCUAACCAAUUUCCCCUUCACAUGCUAUAUUAAGAUCAUAUGUAGAAAAUCCAAUGCAUUAUCCUCAGGAUUAAGUAGCAUUAGCAGAAUGUAUUAACACGUUGCUGCUGUGUUUGUAUCGGGGGCAUAUUUAUUCUCUGCAGGCACUAAGUAUUCUCUGCAAUUCCCUGUGCAGGGAAGGUGGGUAGCAUACCAAAGCCGUGCGUUUAGAGGUUCUGGAACACUUUAACUACAGAUAUAUUAAGGAAUUUGCCUCAGGAAUGUAAACAGCUCCAAAGGGUUUUGUGAGCCAAGGAUAUUAAUUUUAAUAGAGUUCUCUUUCAUGCACACACAUGUAUAUGCACACAUACGUGCUCACACCCUUCUGCCUAUACCCCUACGUAAAUAUACAACAAAAAACAAUGUUUCUAAGGCACUAAUAAUAGGAAAUGCUCUUUCCACGGAGAUAAAAAAUUCACAUUUAUUUGGGGUGGAGUGGGAGGUUAUUCACUGGUCAAACAAGGAGGUAUCCAUUCAAGAUACAAUAUUAAAGGAUGACCUGGGUUUAGCUGCAAUGCGUGGAAAGUGUACAUAAAAUAUACCUCUGAGGAGGUUAAUAUGGUUAAAUAAAUUUACCAGAACAAAGAACAUCUUGACCUCAGGAAAAAAACCUCAGAUCUAAUCUUGUCAGGCAUUUAUUAGAACUUUGGGUCAUCUUAAUCUUCCAGUGCAGAUUGUUUACUCCUUGUAUUUUUGUGCAGGUCUCAGACAUCCAAAUUAAAUGUUUUCACAGGUCCUGGUCAGUCAAUUCUAGCUGUAAGCUUUGCCAUACUCUCCUUUCAGACUUGGACUAAAACUGCGCCUAAUUUUUUUAGCAAAAUUUUAGGUGCAGGGCAUAUACAUCAGGAUUUCAGUAACUGCAGACAUUUAAUAAUCCUUGAGAACCACGUAGUUAAACAGUGUAUCGACCAGUUUCUGCACAUGCACUCAGUUGCCCGGCCCAAGAAGUCAGGUACCUGUUCACCCAUGUUCACUUGAGGUCUCGAAAGGUCCUGCUCUGUUUUUUUGUGCCUGGCAAGAUCUUCAUCAUCCUGGAAAAAUCAAACCCCUCUCAAAAGCAAAGUAUGGCCAUUCCUGUUAAAAAGUGAGUACUGAUGCUCUUAGUGUCCACCUCUCAGAUAACACUCAAUGGUUAAAGUGUUUGCCCAAGAAAUGGGGGCUCACAAAUUCCCGUUGAGGUUUGAUAUUGAAUGGUAGGAACCACCAAAUGCCAAGAUGACAUGGGAUAGUAUAUCAAGCCAGAGUUCUAGUGUCAAAAGACAGAGUGCCAGGAGCAUGUCUAAUUCCAGAGCAGUCACAGCACUCCCAACAGGUGGGAUUAUCCAGUGUUCUGGUCAACAUGUAGAGCCCACCCACUCCAAGAACCCCUGACUGUUUUUGGUAGGACACUUGCUGCAUUACAUGUGUUCUGAGGAUGCCUAAGGCACUGGGUCAUGCAGGCAAGCCUCUGCCGAGCUGCUGGAAAUUCCUGGAGAGCUUGGGAAGGAUGUAAACACUGACUGACUCAGCCUAGACACCUCUGGAUGGACACAUUGGCCACAGGAGGAAAAGACCUAGGAGUGCACAUAGCCAGAAGGGGAAGGCUGGAGGAUAUGGCCUCAGCCAUAACACCUGAUCCAAAGCAGAUGGGCCACUCCAUCUGGUGCUUACUGGGGUGCCUUCAGUCACCAAGGAAUCAUGCCUGAAAAGUCUAAUGAAUUUAAGUACCCAAAAGUAGAAAGUCUUUUUGGUUGAUUUUGGAACAUUGUCUGUUUCUAGCCCACUGGUCCUUUAUUGGAUAGGGUGGGACUGAAUAGGAUCAACUGCAAGCUCUCAGUUCAUUUUUAUAUAAACUGGACUGACACCUAAGCAACAACUGCAGGGAGGCAUGGUACUCAUUUAUGAACAACUGCUCUGGGAUUGAACUUUCCACCUUCAAGAUCUAGCUCAAAUCCGAAUUUUCUUCAGUCUAAGUGUCUGGGAUAUGAGGGGUUUUCAAGUACAUUUAGAUUAAGGAAACCAAAUUUUAUUAUAUUUUCUCUGUUGUAUAAUACAAAUUUCUCUAUUGAAAUAAGGAGUCAAAAUAAUUCCGUUAUGUAUAGAUCCAUAGUUUCAGUUCAUGUCCAUCUUAAAUUUUAAUUUGGCCAUUUGAAUUCUUAUUGUGUUUUAAUUUUACUCUUUUUUGCUAGUGGACUAGAGAGUCCUGUGUUUAACAUGCUUUAAAGGCAAUAAAUUAGUUAAUAAACCAAAACGUAUUUAAAAGACUAAAACUAUUGUAAAAAACCACAACCAACCAAACAAAAAAACCCCAACAACAAAGCAAUUGGUUUUUGAUAACAAUUGAUUGGAGACUGUUCCUAAAACAUUGUACAGCAUGAAUUGCCAAACUGUCACUCUUCCUUGUUCAAAUUUGCUCUUCUUCUUAAAACUAUUAAGUUAAGGAAGUUCAUGUUUGUUUACAACCUGUGAUAAAACACAGGAAUACCUUACUCUGAUUUUUGCCCAGGUAGAGGCUUAAGAUUUUUUCUCUUUUCUAAACUUUAUUGAGUUUAUGAGUAUUGUUGGGUGUUUUUUUGUUUGGUUGGGAUUUUUGGGGUUUUUUUUUGGUGUAUUUUGUUUGUUUGUUUGUUUUUUAAUAGGGGUGGCAUCUCACAAAACCCUCAUCUCAAGUAUCCAUGCAAAUACCAUAGAAAGAGAGUGGGAGGGGAAGGGAAUUCUGCACUCCCUGCAAAAAGGAGGGAUGGAAACAUGCUUCUGAAAGAUUCUUAGCGGCCUAAUUCUAACCAUUUAUCUCAACGUGACUGUGGCAGGAGAUUUCAUUAACAGGCACCUCUAAGGAGGCACUGCACCAAAUUCUUAGCAGCCCUUCACACCUAAGUCCUAUGUGACAUCUGCAGCAGCCCCAAGCUCAGGUGGGCACAUGAGGUUGGUAUUUGGGGGCCCAUGUAGGUGUGAGCUGGUGCUGCAACUCCAGCACCUCCACAGCAACUAGAUGGAGACUUUCAUCCCUUGGUCAAUAUGCAGAAGCUGAUCUGCCUUUUCCCGAGUGGUGGGCAGUAUUGCACUUAAAACAGCAACAGAAACAGGUGUGAGUUUUUUGAGAGUUUUUUGAGAGUCUCCGUGCAGAAACCAAAAAUCAUGCACCUCCCAGCUGCAGGAAAAAAAAACAGUUCAACUUCUGGCAGCCUCAUUCAGGCAGAUUCUGUUUUUUCUUGGCAGUAGUAAUACCAGCAUAAACAAACAUUAGUAUCGUCACUGGGGCUUUUUCUUUAUUUUCUCAAAUUUUGUGAAAGAAAUGCUUGGUUGCUUUAUGAGAUACUCAAAGCCUGUGACUAACCAAAUCCUGAUUUUUAAUUUGUACUGGCUCUUCUGGUUGUGGUGAAAAUGCUGAAGGAUGGUAGCCUUGGGCUGGCACAGUGUGUUCUUCACCAUGGACAGGCAGAGCAGGAACUGGUGGGCUCCACUCUGUUCUCACCAUAUGGGAUGCUCAGACAUUUUAAGCCAGAGCAAGCAAAGUCUUUCCACACACCUCUUAUAAACUAGCUGCUAGGUCUCACUAUAGUAUCUGCUCUCAUAAAAGGGGUUCAGAUUCUCUCCCUCUUUCCCCACCUAAAUGUGUGAUAUCUAGUGCAAACUAAUCUUGUACUCUACCUCUGUAAUCAGUGGAGAAAGUAAACACAAGGGAGGGCAAUUCAGCUCCUUUUAGACACUCCUUUAAGAGUGAGAUGGAUUAUCUUGCAUAUGUGUCUCUGCAUUGCCUGCAAAUGACAGAUGUCUUUUUGCAGAGAUGAAUCUCACUUUUAAAUCAUACAGAUGAGUUCCAAAUGAGAGGCAACGCCCGCUACUCUCACUUCUCGCAACUCUGCACUGCAGCUCAGCUGUCUCAGCAGUGUAUGAGAAAAACAUCUGACCCUGUGACACUUGUCAACAUUACAACUCCCCGACUGCCCCUGCCCUGGGAAGGGCUAAGCCCUUUGCGUUUACGUAAAAUUUUGCUGAGUGUGUAUUUAUAUCUGUUAUUCAUUAAAUCAAUUCACCUGACUGGAGAGCUGCCACAAAAAAAUCUUGGUACUUUUUUUUAAAAGGAGGGUUUAUAGUUAGCAAAGCUGUUUGUUUUAUCUACAAUAAAAGCCUUCCUUCAGGAUUGUGCGAUCACAAUUUAGGGUGGUUACUGAUAUUUUUUUAAAGCUUAGAUGUCGUUUCAAUUUAUUGAUUAUAAACACAAGGGGAAACCACAGUCCAAGUACCAAGAAAAACUCAUAAUAGUUUUUCUACAUCUGAAGAUCCCUAGAACUUCUGGCGCUUUAUGCUUUCCAUGUUGUGUCUGUUGUCCUAUUUAAACUUCUGUGUAGAGGGGCUCAGUGCAAUUUCAAACCUAAGCCCCAUCGAGACUCACAAUGUGGACAACUCCUUGUUUUUCUCAGCUGCGGGGUUUGGCCAUGCAGGAGACAGCCAUGGUUAAUCUUGUUGCUUUGCCCUGUGACAUUUUUGGAACAUUACAGCUUCCUAAGGUUUUAUUCUGUCCCUUUCCUGAUGUCUAUUCCACUUCUUGCAACUAUAUUUUGCUCUUCCCUCCCUGUCAUUUCUUUGCUCUGUUAGCUUUCCCUAAAAAGAGUGUGAAUCAUAACCUUGAAGCAUCUCUCUCUCUCUCCUUUGGCUUGCUCGGACUUACUGCUUGCCCACAAAGCUGGUCAAACAUAAUUGAAAUUAAUCACAUCCAAACUGCCAAUGCUCUUUAACCAGAAACUCAUUAGCAUGAUCUAGUCUUGUGUCCCUGUUUUCUUCAGAAGAGUUCACCCCUGCCCAGAGAUUAUUGUAAUUAGUGGUCUACAGGAUGUUCCCUUGUACAACUGCUCCAAUUAUGUUUAAUCAGUAACACUGCACAUGCAACAAUUAAUUAACAUUAAAACAGAGAGAGCUUGACAUUGUGACUCAUUAGUUUGGUAGUCUUUGGUCUGCCAUUCAUGUAUUUUAUUGUCUGUAUUCUAUGGAGCAAAUCUUUUUUGAAAGCUGGUUCAAGGUGUCAGGACUUGACUCCCAUUCCAGUAAUACCAGUAUUUAGCUUAAAACCCAAGAUCACUAUUUACCAGCACUCCAAGUCUGCUGUGAAGGUCUUCAGUAGUUGCUGAAGCCAAAUGAGCUUGUCUGGGGUAGAAGGUGACAUUAUGCAAUGUGGUUAAGCUACUGAACAGCUGGAGGAGAGGUGAGACAAUGUCAUCAGUGCACAGAGGAGAAAAUCAGGGACAUCACAGCCUGUGCACACACCCAUCAUCCCCAAGAAGCAAUGCUUUGCACUGCCAGCCUGUAGAAAACCACCACAAACACACUCAAAUAUGGGCCAGUGACACAAUAUCACUACAUCUCAGGUCAGGUAAGGGCCUUUCUUUGGCUGCUGCCUGCAAGUGCUGCUCCUGUAUUUAAAGUGAACCUGUCACUUGAUAGGACGCAAGUCAAUGGACUGUGGUUUUUCAUGCCUGUUUGAGAAGCCUCCAUAUCCUAUGCAAGACACGCUUCUUUGUAUAAAAAGUGAAUUUCCUUCCAUCAACAAACUAAUUGAUGCAUGGAAAAGCACAAGUUAAAAGCUGAAAUUUUUCAACAGCAUGUCUAAAACUUUCUUAUCCUGUUUUGAGAAAUGAUGUGUCAGAGGACACUUUGAAGGAGGAAAAAGUGUGUCUAAAGCACUUGAAGUUCACUUUCUCCCUGAAAUCCGAUAUGGUGCUCUUCUUCACCAUGGACACUCAGCAUGUACCAGGAAGGUAGAACAGAAUAAUGGGCUUUUGUCACUUUCCAAAGAAAAAUACGAAGUGCAAUAGGCUUUUUCCUUCUUUCAUUAAAAAGAAAAUUUAUAUAAAAUUUUGCCAGCAAAAAUAAUUGCAAACCUGUAGGGAGGAUAAUGAUAAAAAUAAGUAUCUCAGAUUCCUUGUGGCCUGGCUAAAACAAUAUUCUUUCCUUAAUCUUCAUUACAAACAAUACGAAGAGCAAAAUCCAGAAGAAACAGAAAUACAUGAGAUUGCUGAACACGAGUUGGUCUUCUGGUCAAUGCUGCACAUUAUCUGGCCCCUCUCCUGGCUACAUUUUGAUGAUUAAGGUUGUGGGAAGGUGCAUAAUCAUUCAAGGACUGUACAGAUUCAACCUGCCAGCAGCAGCCAGCCCUGUCUACACAGCUGUGGUUCACAGAUUGAUGGGAUCCACCAUCUUCAUCGCAUCCAUCACAUAAAUCCAACCAGUUUCCUUGAGUAGCCUGAGCAGAGCUGUUAAUAAACAGCAGUCUUUCUGUAACAUUGCUCUUUAUGCUUUUCUUCACUCAAAUGAGUUUUGUUAGCUUAGACCUUGCUACCCUGCUGUCAGCAGUGCUGCCGUAAUCAUCUGUGAAAGGGCUUAAGUGGACCGCCAGUUUCAAUCUUCAGAGAUAUGCUCAGGCUGAUCAUAAAUGCGCUAUUGUAGGACAGAUACAACAUAAUCCUGACAAACAGAUCUGGCCCCCAAAUUUAUCUGUGUUUUUGAUUAUAUUUGUUCUAAUAAUACCAUGAAAGUUACUCUUUGGGAUUCGAGAAUUGAAAAUGAAGAGUUUUUCUCUUUAAGAAGAAAAAAACACUGAAAUUUUUUAAUGAAAGAAAGACAUGAGGAGAGGGAGAGGAAAAAAAUGAGGUUUUAUGGAACCUUUUCAUUGGAAAAAAUGCAGUAUUUUAAUAAUAAUAAUAAUACAUCCAUGCACAUGUGAUCCCUUUUCAGGAAUCAGUGCUCAGGGAAGAAUGGAAUAAGAGCAGCACAACCAGAGUUCCCCUCCCUCAGUGGAAGGUUUCUGUGUGACAGCAGGUCUGCAAUGCCCCAACAGGUCUCGCCAUCACUUGGAGCACCAGCUGCCUUCUCCCAAGCACUGGGGCAGCCAAAGUGUUGCCACUCUUAAUGAAAAUUUGGCAAGAGGAGCUUGGUAGAGCAGCCUCUUGCCAGUCCUGGCCUUCCUGGCCAUCAGGAGGGGAACUGUGUUUGCAGUGGCCAUGGGUCCACUUCCACUCAUGCCUUUGAACAGAACAUCUCCAGACACCUUCCAGUAUUGCUUGUUGUUUUCUGGGCUGCUCUGCUUGGUGUCCUUCUCUGGUGCCCUCUUCAUCUUUGUCCUAAGCCACUAACCUUCACAUCCUUCCUCUUUUUCUGGGGUUUUCCCCAUAAUCAGUAGUUUUUCUCAGCCUCCAUUA
Long non-coding RNA from Columba livia (rock pigeon), 9045 nucleotides. RefSeq lists it as uncharacterized. The transcript has 4 exons. Lineage: Eukaryota; Metazoa; Chordata; Aves; Columbiformes; Columbidae. The record is from RefSeq and is a predicted model, not a curated record.